AUGGCGCACGCCACCCAUCCCGAAGACAUAAUUGCGGAGUUGACUUCCAAGUUUGAAAGAAUAUUUCACAAAGUAGGCACUCCUCUUCCUUUAGAGGAAGGUGAAUCUGCGCGAUCGUUCACUGAAAAUCAUGUAUUGUGGAAUAGUGAGGGAGGAGAUACUCUUCAACAAAUCUUCUCCGAUUAUACGGAAGCCGGGGACGCAAGCGAAUUCGUCGCAAUAGCCACCAAUCUGGCGAAGCGGUUUCGCCGCGCCGAGCUCGGUGAACCGGAUUCUCCCGACCCCGAUGCGCCUUUGGAAGAGCAGGAGGCUCAUUCCACGAGAUCCCCUGAAAGCACAACAGCAAAUGAUGGGGCGAACGAGGCAGGCCCCGGGGAAUCUCCAGAUCCAGUGGAAAUCGUUUACGAAGGGGAUGCACAAGGGUACAACUGGGAGGGGAAUUAG
RNAcentral lists this ribosomal RNA (444 nucleotides) under Triticum aestivum (bread wheat). RNAcentral describes it as "partial small subunit ribosomal RNA". The record is from RNAcentral. Lineage: Eukaryota; Viridiplantae; Streptophyta; Magnoliopsida; Poales; Poaceae.